UAUUAUAUUUAAUAUUAAACAUUACAUAUUUGAUUAUUAAUAGAUAUAUACUUUAAAUUCAAAGAAUUUGGCGGUAUUUUAGUCUUGUUAGAGGAACCUGUUUUAUAAUCGAUAAACCACGUAUAUCUUACUUAUUUUAAAUAAUUUGUAUACCGUCAUUAUUAGAUAACUUUCAAAAAAUUAGUUAUUAAAAUUAAUAAAAUUAAAUAUAUUAGAUCAAGGUGCAGUUAAUAGAUAAGAAAAAAUGGGUUACAAUAAAAUUUAUUUAAUAAACGAAUUAUAUAAAUGAAAAAAUAUAUGAAGGAGGAUUUAAUUGUAAUUUUUUUUUAAAACAAUAAUAUGAUAGUAGCUCUAAAAUAUGUACAUAU
RNAcentral lists this ribosomal RNA (368 nucleotides) under Aegla denticulata lacustris. RNAcentral's name for it is "partial 12S ribosomal RNA". The record is from RNAcentral. Lineage: Eukaryota; Metazoa; Arthropoda; Malacostraca; Decapoda; Aeglidae.